AGGGCACGUCAGUGCGUGGUGUCCAGGGUCCAAUGCAUGCCCCCCUCCCUCCCACACACACACACACUCCGUGUGGGGAGUUCAAGCAGCCCCUCCCUACCCCUGCCGAAUGCCGAGCCACUUCUGGUGCUGACAGGGCCAAGCACCCGCGACGCAGGGAGGUCAGAGCGAUGCAUCACUGCCGAUGCCGGCGGUCAGGUCCUGGAUGGCGCGAUGCGUCUGAGCGACCUGCGACAGCGUGAGCAUGCUUGCACCAUCCAUACGAUGGGCACGAGUGCCGACCUGACUGGAACGUAUCCCACACACACCCGGCCCUCAGGCUGCCUACCGGUGGGGGAGCCUGAGCCACCCCGAUAGGGGCGCGCCCAGUAGCGAGCGGCAUGAGGGGCGCGGCUGUGAGGCGACCUGCGAGGCGGGCGGGUGGGUGGGCAUGGUACGGGGCAGGGGCCGUGCUCAGACGACUGAGUCGGCGCAUUUGGUGUAACGAGUGUCUACGGCUGCUUUGCACCGCAAGAUGGGCCACUGUGGCAGACCGGGCAGAGUAGAGCUUAGCUCAUGUUGUGUGGCAGAGAAUGGACACGUUGAACGAGUGCAAAGUAACUUAUGCCGUCCCCUUUCAUCGAUGUUUCUCUGGUCUUCUUUCCUGGUGAUGACCGCG
This 658-nucleotide unclassified non-coding RNA is filed under the name Leishmania donovani. RNAcentral's name for it is "gene:unknown". The record is from RNAcentral. Lineage: Eukaryota; Euglenozoa; Kinetoplastea; Trypanosomatida; Trypanosomatidae.